GACGAACGCUGGCGGCGUGCUUAACACAUGCAAGUCGAACGGAGAAUUUUAUUUCGGUAGAAUUCUUAGUGGCGAACGGGUGAGUAACGCGUAGACAACCUGCCUCUUAGAUGGGGACAACAUCGCGAAAGCGGUGCUAAUACCGAAUGAAGUGGAGCUUCCGCAUGGAAGCAUCACCAAAGGUGGCCUCUAUUUAUAAGCUACCACUGAGAGAUGGGUCUGCGUCUGAUUAGCUAGUUGGCGGGGUAAUGGCCCACCAAGGCGACGAUCAGUAGCCGGUCUGGGAGGAUGAACGGCCACAUUGGGACUGAGAAACGGCCCAAACUCCUACGGGAGGCAGCAGUGGGGAAUCUUCCGCAAUGGACGAAAGUCUGACGGAGCAACGCCGCGUGAGUGAAGAAGGUUUUCGGAUCGUAAAGCUCUGUUGUUUGAGACGAAUGUGCAGACUUUGAAUAAGGGUUUGUAAUGACGGUAUUAAACGAGAAAGCCACGGCUAACUACGUGCCAGCAGCCGCCGUAA
RNAcentral lists this ribosomal RNA (520 nucleotides) under uncultured bacterium. RNAcentral's name for it is "partial 16S ribosomal RNA". It matches the Rfam family "Bacterial small subunit ribosomal RNA", at positions 28 to 523 of the family's 1533-position model. The record is from RNAcentral.